UCUGACAGUGUUUAAUUCUGACUGUUUAAUUCUCCAAACCUCAACAGGCUCUGAAAAUAAGGAAAUCAUCUACAAAAUGGAACUUCAUGUGGGAAAAAACAUGCUUAGUCACAAAGGCAUUGUUGAUAUACAGACAAAAGCUUAAGGAGGAAAAUGAAAAUCUGAGAACUGUGAUGACAAAGCCAGGAGAUCGUCAGGCAUGAGAGAAAUUCCUCUGGUGCAUUGGAGGAGUUGGUCACAGAGGUAGGUA
Molecule: long non-coding RNA, 250 nt
Filed under: Homo sapiens (human)
Lineage: Eukaryota; Metazoa; Chordata; Mammalia; Primates; Hominidae
Description: HSALNT0013047
Source: RNAcentral